Molecule: non-coding RNA, 31 nt
Filed under: Rattus norvegicus (Norway rat)
Lineage: Eukaryota; Metazoa; Chordata; Mammalia; Rodentia; Muridae
Source: RNAcentral
UGAGCGACAUCUUUCUGUGGCUUGCACAGUG